GACGUAGGGGGCGAGCGUUGUCCGGAGUUACUGGGUGUAAAGCGUGCGCAGGCGGUUCGUUGUGUCGGCGGGGAAAGCCCCGGGCUUAACCUGGGAAUGGCCGUUGAAACUGGCGAACUGGAGUGUGGCAGAGGGGGGUGGAAUUCCGCGUGUAGCAGUGAAAUGCGUAGAGAUGCGGAGGAACACCGAUGGCGAAGGCAGCCCCCUGGGCUAACACUGACGCUCAGGCACGAAAGCGUGGGGAGCAAACAGG
Molecule: ribosomal RNA, 253 nt
Filed under: uncultured bacterium
Lineage: Bacteria
Description: partial 16S ribosomal RNA
Rfam family: Bacterial small subunit ribosomal RNA
Source: RNAcentral